RNAcentral lists this long non-coding RNA (977 nucleotides) under Homo sapiens (human). RNAcentral describes it as "non-protein coding lnc-SMPD3-2:4". Lineage: Eukaryota; Metazoa; Chordata; Mammalia; Primates; Hominidae. The record is from RNAcentral.
GGAGACACAAAGCACGGUUCACAAAGGGGGCCCGAGAGGGGCGAAGGGGGCUGCCCGGGGCACGGCUCAUCCCCACACCUGCGCGCGGGUUGGGGGAAGAAUGUGGCCGGCGCAUUCCUCUGCUGGGGCCAGCGGGGGAGAACUUCCCACGUCGAGACUGGGUGAGGGGCUCAGCCAUCCGGCAUCUCGGAGGAGGGGGUCAAGGUAAGCAGUGGCUACCGGACAAGGGGCUGGAUGUCAUAGGCGCUCUGCUGCCCAGCCUUCUCCGUCAGCCACCACCCCCAAUCCCAGCCCCCGAGGCGCGUUCUGCGCCUCCCCGGGAACUGAGGUGGCGCCAGGAGUCCCUUGCCCCGGCCCGAACACCCCUCGCGCGGUCCACACCAAAAUGGUCACGUGCGGCCCCUACCCUGCGGUUCCACCCUGAGGAUCUUACCUUUCCCCAGCGCCUGGCCGGGCUCCUGCUCCGCGCCUCCCGCCUCCAAGGUCACUUCAGCCUCCCUGAAGACCGCCCGGCACGGCUCGGAGGCCGCGCACUGCAGCCAGCAAACCUGCGCCCGAGGGCAGAGAGUGAAGGAGGCUGGGUCCAGGCGUGCCCGGCCCUGCACUCCCCACACCGCAGGGUCCUCACGGGCCUUCCGGGACUCCCUUGGCCCCAGGGAGCGCAGCCCCGCGCUCUCCCCGACGCCACUGCCCCAUGCGGACCCCGCCCGCCCCCCAGGGAGCGGUCCCGGUCGGGGCCACGGCGAGGCUGUGGAGUACCUGGAGAAGGAGGAGAGACGCGAGAGGUCCACGAGGGAGCCCCAUGGCUGCAGAGAGAGGGGUGAAGCAGCUGCCGCGACGGCGGGCCGGUGUUCCGCUCAGCUCUUGCCCCUUUGAGCACCGCAGCCCCCGGGAGCCAGCGGGAGGAGGCCAGGGACUCAGCCUCUGUCUCGCAGUUCUGGGUUAGAGGAGAAAAGAACACCCAGUGCACUCCUCAG